AAUGAUGAAAACCAUCUCAGGAGCCACCACUGAAGUCUUCCUGGACGUGGCCUGGACAGUUAGUGAGCCCCAGACUCUCAGGAGCACACGCUGACCUCUUAAAUUGUCUCACUUAUAGGUUGUUUUCAGGGUGAAAUGAGCAUAUUGAAAUUAGUAUCUUCAUUUCCUUCAACUUGUAAAUACUGUUGCUUCACUGAGAAUCAGCAUAGGUGUCCCAUAAAUUC
Pipistrellus kuhlii (Kuhl's pipistrelle) is the source of this 224-nucleotide long non-coding RNA. RefSeq lists it as uncharacterized. NCBI's taxonomy places the organism in Eukaryota, Metazoa, Chordata, Mammalia, Chiroptera, Vespertilionidae. The record is from RefSeq and is a predicted model, not a curated record. The transcript has 3 exons.